AGUGUGCCCAUAGGAAACUGAAGACAGUUGCACGCAGUUGGUUUACCACCUGCUGGCAUGGUUAUGGUAAUUGCAGUAGAAGAGAUCACAAGCUGCCAAACUCCAUUUGCCUGACUAAGAUCUCAGAUGAGCUGGACAGAGGUUUACCCCCAAUGAGCAGCAGCACAUCAGUAUCCACUGCAGGCGCCAGCUGACAGCUGGCUCCCUCUUCUUCUCCAACCAUCUGAGCAGCAGCAAAAGUCUCUUCUUCUGAAGAGACAAGCAGAUGCAGAGACCCAUCCUUUGACAAAAUGCUCGUUGCUCUGUUAGUGUCUAGUUCUGCCUCUGAAGUUGUUUGCAAUGCACAAAAGCCCCCCAACCCCAGAGGCAAGCUAAAGGUUUUCAUUUCAAUUGCAUCGCUUGCCUCGUUGCCUAAUGCUUGGUAUGCGGUUUGCUGACGGAAGUAGUUGCAAAGGCGAGUGUGCUUUGGGAUGGUCACCAGCUGGUAAUGGUCCUUCUGCUUACUCUUGCAAUGGCUGGGGAACGUACCAGUGAAAUCUGAAGUAGUUUGGAAACCAACACCAAUUCCUAAGAUGCAGUGAUACAUUUUAGGAGAAAAGUUUGUCUUGGUGAUAAUGCUAAGCUUCUUCCAUGUCUGUGUAUGGAAAUGAUACAUCCAGAGGUCAUCAUUAGGACUGGAAUUUGAAAUCCCUCCACCAAAAAUCAGCAUGGAGUCUUUGAAGACUAUUGAAGCAUGACCUACCACUGGAGGAGGUCCUUGGCUAAAUGUAAGAGAAACCAGCAGUUAAGGGGUGACCAGCAGGAAAGUGACACUGGUUUUAGCCUCUCUUUUUCUUUUGAUUCAGAAGAAUGACUACUAAACAGCUGCACUGGGACAUCAAAACUGCACUACUGACAGCUGCAUCAGCACAUUGCCAACAGCUCUUCCAGGCAAAGCCAACUGGCACCCCAGGGGUGGCAACAGUACUACAUCUUGAUCUGAGAAAUUCCUACAGUCACUGAAAGGACAUCUCCCUCUCCACCUGCACACAGUAUCAAAUGAAAAGCCUGGUGAACAUUCUGCUAUUUUAAUGGAGACAGCAUUCCAGAACCACUCAUUGCCUUCUCAAUCUGGGACAGCUUGAGGGAUGUGGAUCUGGAAUUCUUGGAGACAUUGCUCAGGGGAAUUGGCAGUUACGGAGUAAUGACGCAUUAUAGGUGUCUGUAGUACUUUACAGUGUGCCACUGAAAAGGGAAAAGCAGCUGACGUCAUGAAACGCAGACUCUCCCCCUAACUCUGCCAAGCUUCUGUGUAACCACAGCCAAUUAAUUUAUUUACUUCUACAGCUAAACUUGGACAAAGACUCCUCCUUAGUAAAACAUUUCAAAUUUUCUGAUACAGUGCUGUGUGAGAGUGCCAAGGUAUUACUACUUUUGAUAUAAUGUGCAAAACAUGAUAGGUCUUUGCUAUUAAUACUUUAGAAAGGUAAAAUAGGCUUGUCCCCUUGAGUAUUGGUUUGGGUUUUUUUCCCUAAGCUAUAGAACUGGUUAUUCCUCUUCCUACGUACUUAAGUUCGUUAUUCUUCCUGGAAACCUUGCCUUCUAUUAUACAAACAUUCAGAGAAGAUGACAGCCCUGAUUUUAUAUAGUAGAUUAGCCACAAAAUCUUGUCCACUUGUUUAUCUACCCUAGCUGAACUCUGUGUAAGGCAAGCAAGCAGGGUGAGAUAAUAAAAGGCCAAUCAGGGAUUAACUGAAUGGGUGCCUCCUCCCAGUCACACCUUCUGAGCAUCAACUGACCCCUGUGAAACAUGGCCAUAUACUACUCUUUUGGCAUAAAGCAUUCUUGAAAGCAGAUCUAAAAUCACUCAAACAGCACAGUUCACAAAUUGUUUUAUUUCAGAGUUGGGGAAAAAACACAUUCAAAAUUAAUCUCGAGUCUUGCCUUUUAUCACUGGUAUUUUAAAGUACAAACUUGACUCCUGCAUUUAUAUAUGCUUUUUAUAGAACCAGCCGCACCAAAGUUUAUCUGCUGUUCACCUCAACAGUCCCAUUCCCAGAGAAAAAACUGCUGUUCUCCUGAGAUCAAUGUCACUGAGCAGUAUCCUUUGGGUCAUGCAACCCUGACCUCAGCUUCAACUUGGUACAAGCAAGAUCAGUUAUCCAAUAGGAAGCUCCAACUUCAGCAGGAUUUCCACAAAAAUACCCAAAAGGACAACUCAGGGCAUUUUUAUACAACUUUUUUUUUUUCCCCGAUACAGAUGUAGCACACACACAAAAAAAUGGCUGCUGCUCUCCAAACUCUUCUGCUAUUUCAUUCUAAAUAUAGCUCCUGUGCAAUCAAUCCCAAUUGUUGAACGGCUGGAGGAACUGCCAGACAAGGACCUAAAGAGCUGCAAUUAGCAUAGUAACUAUAGCACAGAGUGCUUAUCAGUUAAUGGCACUACACUACUGUUUCAUAAUACAAAUAAUUCAGGAAAUGUAGAAAGACAGGAAUUACUUCAGGAAAUGUAGUUUAUAUGUUCAUUAUAUAAUUAUUCAUAUUUUUAUUACAUGUGGUUUUGGAGACAAAUGAUUUAUUUAUUUAAAGUAUUACUUAAAUAUGAUCUUCAUUACAGCUUUUUUCUACCUCAGGCCCCUGAUUCAUUUCCAUCUGUUUUCAAUAUACUCAGAACUAAGUUUCACAUUUAAAAGGAUCCAGCCUUUUGAAAUAUAAUGAGAUAUGAAACCACUCAUAUUGGGGGAAGAAAGUAGGAAAUACUUUAUUUUGGGGGGGAGGGUUGGGAGGACAGUGUGUGUAUGUCUAUUUUCUUGUUAAUUACCCAGUUUUCUGAACUCAACCCUUGACCCUCCCCAUGCAGAACACUGUAUUUUCUUAUUUUUUAUUGCUCUUCCAAAAUAAUAACAGAUCUUCCCAGUUCUACUUAUCUUAGAAACCUUCCCUUUAGUGGUAGUUUUAUUGUAAUGCUUGUUCCAAUGGGACUGCUUGCAUGAAUAAGGAGGAAACUGACUGAAGAUUUGUGAGGCAGUUACAAAGUUCUUUAAAUGAACCCACUUAGUUUAGAACAGUUUAGAGGGCAAGGCCUUUCUUCAGUAUAUCGCAUUUACUUGCAAGACUUUACUAUGUGUGAUAAACUUUAGUAUCCUCAAGUUUCCUAUUUUAUUAUUUCCUAAAAUCAAGUUGUUACGAACUGCUUCUGGGGUGAGGGGUUUUUGUGUUUUUGUUUUCCAAAUACAAGAACUAAUUUUCAGAGAUGCUCAGCUUCAGAAUUUCAGCUUCAAAGACCAGACUGACUCUAGGAAUAUAGGGUAUCUGUAAUAUUUCUCUAUUAUUAGAAUUCUGAAUUGAAGUAAGGGCCCUGCUUUUGCUAUGUGUUAUAAAACAUGCAGGUACUUACAUGACUGAACUCACAACAGAAGUAGUCAAGACAAAAGGAAGAAGAUGGAAAAUUGUUAUUUCUUCUUACAGGGGAAGUGGAAGGACAGAAAGAGGAUUUGUAAAAUUACAAAUCCAAACAGGGCCCCAGCUCCAUCCUGAUUUCAGAAAAAUGACAGGUACUUUAAAAUAAUAAACACCUCCACUGGCUUUAUAGAGCUUAGAGUGAACAUACUAAAAAUUUACAGAAAAUCUGAAAGCCUUUAAUAUUGAAUAAGCCUUAUUGGAAUUUUAACAACUUUAGGGUAGUAUUCUUAAACAUUAUCAUUGUUAUAUUUCACUGCUUCAGAAUGAUUUUUCAGAAUGUUUUGAACAGGUAUUUCAGAGGUAAACUCUUCUGGAACAGUCAUGCAUAAUUAGUUUCUAUAUGCUGUAGACCUAUAUAUGUAACUACUACUUCUGAAGUGUGGAGUCCUUAGACCACAGAGAGCACUGGCAUCUUUACUGCAAAACAGAUGACAGCACCACAAAUUUCUUCUCUGAACACUGUCUGCCUGCUUCUGAGCUCUGCAGGCAAAGCACUGCAUUCUUUUAAUUCAGACAACAUUAGUAUUAAAGCUCUAGUUUACAAUUUUCAGAAUAAAUUUAUGUUUGCAUAUAAUUCCAAAUUUAAUUUUGCAAAAUGAUAUUAUUAAUAUAGUCUCAUUUGGUUUAAUUUUUAGAAGCUUUAACUCAGAAAAUAAAUUCAUUAUAUUCAUUACUGUGUAGCACUACUCCAUCUCUAUUACAAAGUUCUUAAGAAGUAAUAAAUAUAAGAGUUUAUUAAAUAAAGAAGUAUAAAUAUAUUUAGUUGUAUUUUCUGUGUGCUAGGUAUAUUUCUCAUUUUAAAGGUAACAAAUACAACCUGGCUUGGAGUAAUACAAUAAAUAUUUAAUUUCCCAAAUACUGCAAAGGGAGUGGUAUCUGGGAAAAAAAAUGAGUACUUAAAAUAUUUCUGGGAUUGUUACACAUUUAUAUACACCUCUAGUAUAUCAGUCAGGAAAUUACCUUUGCCACUGUACUGAAAUAAGUUUUAUGGUACUAACAAAAAAUAAAUACAUCUAUAUUACAUUACU
Molecule: long non-coding RNA, 4469 nt
Organism: Melopsittacus undulatus (budgerigar)
Lineage: Eukaryota; Metazoa; Chordata; Aves; Psittaciformes; Psittaculidae
Exons: 3
Source: RefSeq, a predicted model, not a curated record